This 370-nucleotide ribosomal RNA is filed under the name uncultured Methanomicrobiales archaeon. Its description in RNAcentral is "bacterial SSU rRNA". It matches the Rfam family "Archaeal small subunit ribosomal RNA", at positions 970 to 1338 of the family's 1478-position model. Lineage: Archaea; Methanobacteriati; Methanobacteriota; Methanomicrobia; Methanomicrobiales. The record is from RNAcentral.
ACUUGACUAGCUGAGAGGAGGUGCAUGGCCGUCGUCAGUUCGUACUGUGAAGCAUCCUCGUUAAGUCAGGCAACGAGCGAGACCCACGCCAACAGUUGCCAGCUCGUCCUCCGGGAUGGUGGGGACACUGUUGGGACCGCCUCUGCUAAAGAGGAGGAAGGAAUGGGCAACGGUAGGUCAGCAUGCCCCGAAUUAUCUGGGCUACACGCGGGCUACAAUGGGUGGGACAAUGGGUAUCGACACCGAAAGGUGAAGGCAAUCUCCUAAACCCAUCCGUAGUUCGGAUUGUGGGCUGCAACUCGCCCACAUGAAGCUGGAAUCUGUAGUAAUCGUGUCUCAAAAUGGCACGGUGAAUAUGUCCCUGCUCCUU